This 452-nucleotide ribosomal RNA is filed under the name uncultured bacterium. Its description in RNAcentral is "bacterial SSU rRNA". It matches the Rfam family "Bacterial small subunit ribosomal RNA", at positions 28 to 494 of the family's 1533-position model. The record is from RNAcentral.
GACGAACGCUGGCGGCGUGCUUAACACAUGCAAGUCGAACGGUAAGGCUCUUCGGAGUACACGAGUGGCGAACGGGUGAGUAACACGUGAGCAACCUGCCCUUGACACUGGGAUAACAGUUGGAAACAGCUGCUAAUACCGGAUACGACCUUGAUCGGCAUCGAUCGGGGUGGAAAGUUCCGGCGGUCAAGGAUGGGCUCGCGGCCUAUCAGCUUGUUGGUGAGGUAACGGCUCACCAAGGCUUCGACGGGUAGCCGGCCUGAGAGGGCGACCGGCCACACUGGGGCUGAGAUACGGGCCCAGACUCCUACGGGAGGCAGCAGUGGGGAAUAUUGCGCAAUGGGCGAAAGCCUGACGCAGCAACGCCGCGUGCGGGAUGACGGGCCUUCGGGUUGUAAACCGCUUUCAGCAGGGACGAAGCAACACGUGACGGUACCUGCAGAAGAAGCACC